This 506-nucleotide ribosomal RNA is filed under the name uncultured bacterium. RNAcentral describes it as "partial 16S ribosomal RNA". It matches the Rfam family "Bacterial small subunit ribosomal RNA", at positions 28 to 507 of the family's 1533-position model. The record is from RNAcentral.
GACGAACGCUGGCGGCGUGCUUAACACAUGCAAGUCGAACGGUGAAGGGACUGGUUUUGCUGGUCCUGGAUGAGUGGCGAACGGGUGAGUAACACGUGAGUAACCUGCCCCCUUCUUCUGGAUAACCGCAUGAAAGUGUGGCUAAUACGGGAUAUUCUGGGUCUGUCGCAUGGUGGGCCUGGGAAAGAUUGCGCCUUUUUUGGUGUUUUUGGUGGGGGAUGGGCUCGCGGCCUAUCAGCUUGUUGGUGGGGUGAUGGCCUACCAAGGCGGUGACGGGUAGCCGGCCUGAGAGGGUGGACGGUCACGCUGGGACUGAGACACGGCCCAGACUCCUACGGGAGGCAGCAGUGGGGAAUAUUGCACAAUGGGCGCAAGCCUGAUGCAGCGACGCCGCGUGAGGGAUGGAGGCCUUCGGGUUGUGAACCUCUUUCGCCAGUGAAGCAGGCCUGCCUCUUUUUGUGGGUGGGUUGACGGUAGCUGGAUAAGAAGCGCCGGCUAACUACGUG